CUAGGGGCCAUAGUGCCUAGAGGGCCAGUUAAUGGCUAUAGAGGUUCUAGGGGCCAUAGUGUCUAGGGGUCCAGUCAAUGGCUAUAGAGGUUCUAGGGGCCAUAGUGUCUAGGGGUCCAGUCAAUGGCUAUAGAUGCUCUCGGGGCCAUAGUGUCG
Long non-coding RNA from Oncorhynchus gorbuscha (pink salmon), 156 nucleotides. RefSeq lists it as uncharacterized. The transcript is spliced from 3 exons. The record is from RefSeq and is a predicted model, not a curated record. Lineage: Eukaryota; Metazoa; Chordata; Actinopteri; Salmoniformes; Salmonidae.